This 376-nucleotide ribosomal RNA is filed under the name Dicronocephalus wallichii bowringi. RNAcentral describes it as "partial 16S ribosomal RNA". The record is from RNAcentral. Lineage: Eukaryota; Metazoa; Arthropoda; Insecta; Coleoptera; Scarabaeidae.
UUUUGACCGUGCAAAGGUAGCAUAAUCAUUAGUUUUUUAAUUGAAAGCUGGUAUGAAUGGUUGGACGAGAAAGUAACUGUCUCAAUUUAAUUUGAAUUAGAACUUUAUUUUUAAGUAAGAAAGCUUAAAUGAUUUUAAAAGACGAGAAGACCCUAUAGAGUUUUAUAUUUCUUUAUAUAGGAUUAAUUUAGUUACUAGGCAUUUCUAUAUAAUGAGGUAUUUUGUUGGGGUGACAGAAAAAUUAAAGUAACUUUUUCUUAUUAGUAACAUUAAUUUAUGAUUCAUUGAUCCGUAUAUUACGAUUAUAAGAUUAAAUUACCUACAGCGUAAUUUUUUUUGAGAGUUCAUAUCGAAAAAAGAGUUUGCGACCUCGAUG